Molecule: ribosomal RNA, 253 nt
Filed under: uncultured bacterium
Lineage: Bacteria
Description: partial 16S ribosomal RNA
Rfam family: Bacterial small subunit ribosomal RNA
Source: RNAcentral
UACAUGGGGUGCAAACGUUGCUCGGAAUUAUUGGGCGUAAAGCGCACGUAGGCGGUUUGUUAAGUCGGAUGUGAAAUCCCUCGGCUCAACUGAGGAAGUGCAUCCGAAACUGGCAAGCUUGAGUACGAAAGAGGGUCGCGGAAUUCCCGGUGUAGAGGUGAAAUUCGUAGAUAUCGGGAGGAACACCUGUGGCGAAAGCGGCUCUCUGGACCACAACUGACGCUGAGGCGCGAAAGCGUGGGUAGCAAACAGG